This 512-nucleotide ribosomal RNA is filed under the name uncultured bacterium. RNAcentral describes it as "bacterial SSU rRNA". It matches the Rfam family "Bacterial small subunit ribosomal RNA", at positions 17 to 518 of the family's 1533-position model. The record is from RNAcentral.
UCCUGGCUUAGGAUGAACGCUAGCUACAGGCUUAACACAUGCAAGUCGAGGGGAAACGAUAUUGAAAGCUUGCUUCUUAGGCGUCGACCGGCGAAUGGGUGAGUAACGCGUAUCCAACCUGCCCCUGAGUAAGGGAUAGCCCAUCGAAAGAUGGAUUAAUACCUUAUGGUUUCCUUUGAAGGCAUCAGAUUAGGAAUAAAGAUUUAUCGCUGAGGGACGGGGAUGCGUCUGAUUAGCUUGUUGGCGGGGUAACGGCCCACCAAGGCAACGAUCAGUAGGGGUUCUGAGAGGAAGGUCCCCACAUUGGUACUGAGACACGGACCAAACUCCUACGGGAGGCAGCAGUGAGGAAUAUUGGUCAAUGGGCGCAAGCCUGAACCAGCCAAGUAGCGUGCAGGAAUGACUGCCCUAUGGGUUGUAAACUGCUUUUAUACGGGGAUAAAGUCAGAGUCGUGACUCUGUUUGCAGGUACCGUAUGAAUAAGGACCGGCUAAUUCCGUGCCAGCAGCUGC